This 1307-nucleotide ribosomal RNA is filed under the name Ecnomus sp. XG-2021. RNAcentral describes it as "16S ribosomal RNA". Lineage: Eukaryota; Metazoa; Arthropoda; Insecta; Trichoptera; Ecnomidae. The record is from RNAcentral.
AUUUAUUUAUUUUAUUAAGUAAUUUAUUUUAUUAAAUCUUAUUUUUAUGGUUAAAAAAUUAAUAAUGAUUAAUAGUUGUUUAAGUAUAAAAUUUAUGAAAAAAUGAUUUAUUUAUAUUGAAUUAGUAAUUAAUAUGAAAUUUUAUUAUUUAUAAAUUAGAAAAAGUUGAUUUGAAUUAUUGUAUCUUGUGUAUUAGAGUUGAUUAAAUAAAUAUUUAUAAUAAUGAAAAUUUUCGAAAAAAAAAAAAUUAUUUUUUUAUGAUAGUUAAUGUAAUAUAAUUAUUUAAAAUAAAAUAAUCGAAAUGAAAUGUUAUUCGUUUUUUUUUAUAUCUAAUUAUUAAAGAUUUUAAUUUAAUUAAUUUAAAAUUUUAUUAUAUAAUAAAAUUUUAUAUUAUAUAAAUAAUUUAUAAAAAUAAUUUUAGGGAUAAGCUUAAAAAUUAUCUAUAUUUAUAUAUAUAUAUAUAAAUAAUUAAAAAGAAUUUAUAUUUUUUAUUUAUUAUUAAUUAUAAUAUUUAUAUUUAUUUUUUGAUUAAUUUAUUUUUUAUAAGAUUGGAUUAUUAUUUAAUAAAAAUUUAUAAUAAAUAAUAAUUUAUUAUAAUGAUAAAAUUAGUAGUUAUAAAUAUUUAUUUAUUGUAUUAGUUAAUUGUAAUUUAUAUAUUUAUGAAUUAGACAAAUAUAAAAAUAUUAUUCAAUUGUUUAACAAAAACAUUUUUUCUUGAAUUGAUUUGAAAUAAAAUCUGCCCACUGGUAAUAUUUAGACUUAAGGGCUGCAGUAAUUUGACUGUACUAAGGUAGCAUAAUAAAUUGUUUUUUAAUUGAAAACUGGAAUGAAUGAUUAAAUGAAAUAAUUGUUUUAUUAUUUAUAAAUUAAUAAAUUUAAAUUUUAAGUGAAAAUGCUUAAAUUUAAUAAUGGGACGAGAAGACCCUAUAGAUUUUAAUUUUAAUUUUAAAAUUAAUUUUAAAAUUAAAAUUUUAUUGGGGUGAUAAUAAAAUAAAUUUAACUUUUAUAAUUUUUUACAUUAAUUUAUGAAUUGAAUGUAUUUAUUUUAUAAUAAUUUAGAUUAAAUUACCUUAGGGAUAACAGCAUAAUUUUAAUUUAGAGAUUGAUAUUUAAAUUAAAGAUUAUGACCUCGAUGUUGGAUUAAAAUUAAUAUUUAAUGUAUAUGUUAAAUAAUUUAGUCUGUUCGACUAUUAAAAUUUUACAUGAUCUGAGUUCAAACCGGUUUAAGCCAGGUUGGUUUCUAUCUAUUAUAUAUUUAAUUAUUUUAGUACGAAAGGAAUUUUUAUUAUAAUAUUUAUUUAAUUAUA